RNAcentral lists this ribosomal RNA (401 nucleotides) under uncultured bacterium. RNAcentral's name for it is "bacterial SSU rRNA". It matches the Rfam family "Bacterial small subunit ribosomal RNA", at positions 356 to 773 of the family's 1533-position model. The record is from RNAcentral.
GGGGAAUAUUGGACAAUGGGCGCAAGCCUGAUCCAGCCAUGCCGCGUGAGUGAUGAAGGCCUUAGGGUUGUAAAGCUCUUUUAGCAGGGACGAUAAUGACGGUACCUGCAGAAAAAGCCCCGGCCAACUUCGUGCCAGCAGCCGCGGUAAUACGAAGGGGGCUAGCGUUGCUCGGAAUCACUGGGCGUAAAGCGCACGUAGGUGGGUCGUUAAGUCGGGGGUGAAAUCCCAGAGCUCAACUCUGGAACUGCCUUCGAUACUGGCGACCUUCGAGUUCGGGAGAGGUGAGUGGAACUGCGAGUGUAGAGGUGAAAUUCGUAGAUAUUCGCAAGAACACCAGUGGCGAAGGCGGCUCACUGGCCCGAUACUGACACUGAGGUGCGAAAGCGUGGGGAGCAAAC